Molecule: long non-coding RNA, 1129 nt
Filed under: Equus asinus (donkey)
Lineage: Eukaryota; Metazoa; Chordata; Mammalia; Perissodactyla; Equidae
Description: lncRNA (ENSEASG00005035307.1)
Source: RNAcentral
UAAAGAUAUCAGUGACGUAAACAGAGUCAGCUGCAGUUGAAUGCACACGGAGCUGUACUGAAAAUGGCAAUCCUCGAACAAACCUGCCUCCACUGUGACCUUUAUUAGCCCAUCAUCAUGGAAAUAAGGAUAAUCCGAGCAAGGCAGCAUCCUCCACCAACAAACUGAGGAAGUUAACCCUGGAAUUAAAGUUACAAGAUGGAGAAAUAGAUAUUUUUUUGUUAUCUUAAAACCUGACUAUGUUAGUCAAUGUUAGUUUCAAGACCACUUACCACUAGGAGAAAAUGGAAAAAAACAAGAUUACAAAAAAAAAAGGGAAAAGAAAAAAACAGUCUUUCUGUCUUCCUGAUUGAAGCAAUACAACAUACAAUUGGAUUAAAAAAAUAUUAAUCUCCUUGUUAAAUUAAAAGUUAUGGUAACUAAUUGAAAAUUUUGGAAAGUUUCGUAAGUUCUUUGCUUAUUAGUGGGGAAGUCGGUUAAGCAGACUGAUAUUCAGAACCGCCGCUGUGGCCAUUUUCAGGGUGAAUCCCGUUCACUUUGAGAAACGUGGACACGAUGUUUUCUUCUAGAAAUUGGAAAGGCACAGCCACACCAUGAGGCUGCAGACAUUUCUUGCACCUUUCCAUGAAGGCUUUCAAAGCAUCCUGCAACCUCAAUCCAAUUCAACUGUCUGAACUGUUGAUGGCAAAAGUAAAAACAGAAUUUCAAAUCAAGACACUCGUGGGUUUUUUAUUGUUGUUUGCUUCAGAAAUUAUCUUGUGACUUACUGGCCAACAGACUGUGCUGUCCAACGUCAAGAGGAACUGGAUCGGUAAGAAUAAUUAAACACAUAAAGGCGGUGCCCGACCUCACAGCUCCACCCCACACUCCUCAGUCUUUACACCAGGGAAAGGAGGCAGGGAACGAACUGCCAUGCGCCCUUUCCUCGUGUCCUCUCUUCACAACACUGAAAUUCAAACGAAGUGACCUGGUGACUUAAAACAACAAGACCGCGCACGUCUCCUUGAGGACGGCUGAGGGUGUCGCCUGGCUUCGCGGCCCCCAGGCGGGACGCCGGGCCGGGCUCCGCGGCGGGGCCAGCGGCCUCUGCACCGGCUCGGGCUGAGUCCUCUCUCCAGCUCUUCCCUCU